This is a small nuclear RNA of Prolemur simus (greater bamboo lemur), 105 nucleotides long. The record is from Ensembl. Lineage: Eukaryota; Metazoa; Chordata; Mammalia; Primates; Lemuridae.
GUGCUCACUUGGACAGCACUUAUACUAAAAUUAGAACCACACAGAGAAGAUCAGCGUAGCCCCUGCACAAGGAGAACACAAGUUUGUGAAGCAUUCCAUAGUUUU